AUCCAUUUGGCGAGUUCGAAAUAGGACGAAACGCACGUCCUAGAU
RNAcentral lists this non-coding RNA (45 nucleotides) under Schistosoma mattheei. The record is from RNAcentral. Lineage: Eukaryota; Metazoa; Platyhelminthes; Trematoda; Strigeidida; Schistosomatidae.